This 252-nucleotide ribosomal RNA is filed under the name uncultured bacterium. RNAcentral's name for it is "partial 16S ribosomal RNA". It matches the Rfam family "Bacterial small subunit ribosomal RNA", at positions 524 to 776 of the family's 1533-position model. The record is from RNAcentral.
UACGGAGGAUGCAAGCGUUAUCCGGAAUCAUUGGGCGUAAAGCGUCCGCAGGUGGUUAAUCAAGUCUGCUGUUAAAGACAGAAGCUCAACUUCUGGUCGGCAGUGGAAACUGGGGAACUAGAGUACGGUAGGGGUUGAGGGAAUUCCAGUGUAGCGGUGAAAUGCGUAGAUAUUGGGAAGAACACCAGUGGCGAAGGCGCUCAACUGGGCCGUAACUGACACUCAGGGACGAAAGCUAGGGUAGCGAAAGGG